GCUUAAAAUCCAAAGGACUUGACGGUGUCCCACCCCCCUAGAGGAGCCUGUUCUAUAAUCGACGAUCCCCGCUACACCUCACCACUUCUCGCUUACACAGUCUGUAUACUUCCGUCGCAAGCUUGCCGUUUGAAUGAUUAACAGCAGGCUCAAUGGCACCCCCGCCAACACGUCAGGUCAAAGUGCAGCUCAUGAAGUGGCAAGCAAUGGGCUACAAUUUCUAAUUUAGAACAAACGAAAAACCAUCUGAAAUGGUGGUCACGAAGGUGGAUUUAGCAGUAACGGGGGAUAAUAGUGCCCCCCUUAACAGCGGCCCUGGGACGCGUACAAACCGCCCGUCAAUCUCUUCGAUAGCUAUCAACUAGUUAAUAACACUUUAUUUGCGCUUUAGAAGGGGUAAGUCGUAACACGGUAAGCGUACUGGAAAGUGUGCUUGGACAAACAAAAUAUAGCUUAGAAAAGCCCCCCGCUUACACCGGGAAGACAUCUGUUAAACUCGGAUUAUUUUGAGCCCCAACUCUA
RNAcentral lists this ribosomal RNA (522 nucleotides) under Boophis reticulatus. RNAcentral describes it as "partial 12S ribosomal RNA". The stretch from base 1 to 449 matches the Rfam family "Bacterial small subunit ribosomal RNA", at positions 892 to 1533 of the family's 1533-position model. Lineage: Eukaryota; Metazoa; Chordata; Amphibia; Anura; Mantellidae. The record is from RNAcentral.